CAUGGAUGCACAAGUCAAAGCUAUUGCUGAUACUGGUGCAAAUGUCGUAGUAACAGGUGGCAAAGUGGCAGACAUGGCUCUUCAUUAUGCAAAUAAAUAUAAUAUCAUGUUAGUGAGGCUAAACUCAAAAUGGGAUCUCCGAAGACUUUGUAAAACUGUUGGUGCUACAGCUCUUCCUAGAUUGACACCUCCUGUCCUUGAAGAAAUGGGACACUGUGACAGUGUUUACCUCUCAGAAGUUGGAGAUACUCAGGUGGUGGUUUUUAAGCAUGGUAUGUAGGAAUGGUAAAACAUGUUUAAGUGUAGGGCUUUAGCUUCUUGUAUUUAAUCACCAAAUAUAUUUAAUUUUUUGAUAGAAAAGGAAGAUGGCGCCAUUUCUACCAUAGUACUUCGAGGCUCUACAGACAAUCUGAUGGAUGACAUAGAAAGGG
RNAcentral lists this long non-coding RNA (431 nucleotides) under Homo sapiens (human). Its description in RNAcentral is "non-protein coding lnc-RWDD2B-4:1". Lineage: Eukaryota; Metazoa; Chordata; Mammalia; Primates; Hominidae. The record is from RNAcentral.